This 440-nucleotide ribosomal RNA is filed under the name uncultured bacterium. RNAcentral's name for it is "partial 16S ribosomal RNA". It matches the Rfam family "Bacterial small subunit ribosomal RNA", at positions 338 to 795 of the family's 1533-position model. The record is from RNAcentral.
CCUACGGGAGGCAGCAGUGGGGAAUAUUGCACAAUGGGGGGAACCCUGAUGCAGCGACGCCGCGUGAGCGAAGAAGUACUUCGGUAUGUAAAGCCCUAUCAGCAGGGAAGAAAAUGACGGUACCUGACUAAGAAGCCCCGGCUAACUACGUGCCAGCAGCCGCGGUAAUACGUAGGGGGCAAGCGUUAUCCGGAUUUACUGGGUGUAAAGGGGGCGUAGGCGGCGUGCCAAGUCUGAGGUGAAAGGCCGGGGCUCAACCCCGGGACUGCAUUGGAAACUGGCAGGCUGGAGUGCAGGAGGGGCAGGCGGAAUGCAUAGUGUAGCGGUGAAAUGCGUAGAUAUUAGGAGGAACACCGGUGGCGAAGGCGGCUUGCUGGACGAUAACUGACGUUGAGGCUCGAAAGCGUGGGGAGCAAACAGGAUUAGAUACCCGUGUAGUC